This 617-nucleotide ribosomal RNA is filed under the name uncultured bacterium. Its description in RNAcentral is "bacterial SSU rRNA". It matches the Rfam family "Bacterial small subunit ribosomal RNA", at positions 338 to 948 of the family's 1533-position model. The record is from RNAcentral.
CCUACGGGAGGCAGCAGUGGGGAAUUUUGGACAAUGGACGCAAGUCUGAUCCAGCCAUUCCGCGUGCAGGACGAAGGCCUUCGGGUUGUAAACUGCUUUUGUACGGAACGAAAAAGCUCUUAUUAAUACUAGGAGUCCAUGACGGUACCGUAAGAAUAAGCACCGGCUAACUACGUGCCAGCAGCCGCGGUAAUACGUAGGGUGCAAGCGUUAAUCGGAAUUACUGGGCGUAAAGCGUGCGCAGGCGGUUAUAUAAGACAGAUGUGAAAUCCCCGAGCUUAACUUGGGAACUGCAUUUGUGACUGUAUAGCUAGAGUACGGCAGAGGGGGAUGGAAUUCCGCGUGUAGCAGUGAAAUGCGUAGAUAUGCGGAGGAACACCGAUGGCGAAGGCAAUCCCCUGGGCCUGUACUGACGCUCAUGCACGAAAGCGUGGGGAGCAAACAGGAUUAGAUACCCUGGUAGUCCACGCCCUAAACGAUGUCAACUGGUUGUUGGGUCUUCACUGACUCAGUAACGAAGCUAACGCGUGAAGUUGACCGCCUGGGGAGUACGGCCGCAAGGUUGAAACUCAAAUGAAUUGACGGCUGAGAGAGCGAGACGACGACGAGGGAGGAGG